This 372-nucleotide unclassified non-coding RNA is filed under the name Mortierella sp. RNAcentral describes it as "partial contains 5.8S ribosomal RNA, internal transcribed spacer 2, and large subunit ribosomal RNA". The stretch from base 1 to 71 matches the Rfam family "5.8S ribosomal RNA", at positions 84 to 154 of the family's 154-position model. Lineage: Eukaryota; Fungi; Mortierellomycota; Mortierellomycetes; Mortierellales; Mortierellaceae. The record is from RNAcentral.
GUGAGUCAUCGAAUCUUUGAACGCAUAUUGCGCUCUUUGGUAUUCCGAAGAGCAUGCUUGUUUGAGUAUCAGUAAACACCUCAACCUCCUCUUGAUUUUUCAAAAGGAGGGUGGACUUGAGCUAUCCCAACAACCUUCACAGGUAGGCGGGCGGCUUGAAAUGCAGGUGCAGCUGGACUUUUAUCUGAGCUAAAAGCAUAUCUAUUUAGUCCUCGUCAAACAGGAUUAUUACUAUUGCUGCAGCUAACAUAAAGGAUAAUUGUCCUCAUUGCUGACUGAUGCAGGAUUUUACGACACUUUAUGUGUUGUUCAACUCGAUCUCAAAUCAAGUAAGACUACCCGCUGAACUUAAGCAUAUCAAUAAGCGGAGGA